CCUACGGGUGGCAGCAGUGAGGAAUAUUGGUCAAUGGACGAGAGUCUGAACCAGCCAAGUAGCGUGAAGGAUGACUGCCCUAUGGGUUGUAAACUUCUUUUAUAUGGGAAUAAAAUGUUCCACGUGUGGGAUUUUGUAUGUACCAUAUGAAUAAGGAUCGGCUAACUCCGUGCCAGCAGCCGCGGUAAUACGGAGGAUCCGAGCGUUAUCCGGAUUUAUUGGGUUUAAAGGGAGCGUAGGUGGAUUGUUAAGUCAGUUGUGAAAGUUUGCGGCUCAACCGUAAAAUUGCCGUUGAAAAUGGCAGUCUUGAGUACAGUAGAGGUGGGCGGAAUUCGUGGUGUAGCGGUGAAAUGCUUAGAUAUCACGAAGAACUCCGAUUGCGAAGGCAGUUCACUGGACUGCAACUGACACUGAGGCUCGAAAGUGUGGGUAUCAAACAGGAUUAGAUACCCCUGUAGUC
Molecule: ribosomal RNA, 460 nt
Filed under: uncultured bacterium
Lineage: Bacteria
Description: partial 16S ribosomal RNA
Rfam family: Bacterial small subunit ribosomal RNA
Source: RNAcentral